This 250-nucleotide long non-coding RNA is filed under the name Brassica napus (rape). RNAcentral's name for it is "long non-coding RNA (BNAP_LNC013568)". Lineage: Eukaryota; Viridiplantae; Streptophyta; Magnoliopsida; Brassicales; Brassicaceae. The record is from RNAcentral.
AAAACAAUAACCAAAUUAAUGUCUUUUUAGUUUCAAAAUGUCAUGUUCAAAUCUAUUAACCAUUUAAUCUAUUAAAAAUAAAUAAAAAUUAAUUAUGUGAAAGUUAUAUUUUUAAUUACAAGAAAUUUGAGAAAUGAAAUUAUUUUUUUUCAAAAUCUAAAUAUCCGAAUCCGAUCCGAAAUAACCGAAUCCGAACUAAAAAUACCCGAACCCGACCCAAAGUACAGAAAUAUCCGAACGGGUUCUACAC